AACCUUUUGUAUCCGUGCUGAGAUUUCGUCAUUAUUCAGUCCAUUAUGUCUAAUGCAACUCCCCAAAUAAGUGAAGUG
RNAcentral lists this microRNA precursor (78 nucleotides) under Trichobilharzia regenti. RNAcentral describes it as "mir-3492 microRNA precursor family". It matches the Rfam family "mir-3492 microRNA precursor family". Lineage: Eukaryota; Metazoa; Platyhelminthes; Trematoda; Strigeidida; Schistosomatidae. The record is from Rfam by way of RNAcentral.